This 914-nucleotide ribosomal RNA is filed under the name Sphaeriothyrium filicinum. Its description in RNAcentral is "eukaryotic LSU rRNA". It matches the Rfam family "Eukaryotic large subunit ribosomal RNA", at positions 1 to 931 of the family's 3401-position model. The record is from RNAcentral. Lineage: Eukaryota; Fungi; Ascomycota.
CUUGACCUCGGAUCAGGUAGGGAUACCCGCUGAACUUAAGCAUAUCAAUAAGCGGAGGAAAAGAAACCAACAGGGAUUGCCCUAGUAACGGCGAGUGAAGCGGCAACAGCUCAAAUUUGAAAUCUGGCGUCUUUGGCGUCCGAGUUGUAAUUUGCAGAGGGCGCUUUGGCAUUGGCAGCGGUCCAAGUUCCUUGGAACAGGACGUCACAGAGGGUGAGAAUCCCGUACGUGGUCGCUAGCCUUUACCGUGUAAAGCCCCUUCGACGAGUCGAGUUGUUUGGGAAUGCAGCUCUAAAUGGGAGGUAAAUUUCUUCUAAAGCUAAAUACUGGCCAGAGACCGAUAGCGCACAAGUAGAGUGAUCGAAAGAUGAAAAGCACUUUGGAAAGAGAGUUAAAAAGCACGUGAAAUUGUUGAAAGGGAAGCGCUUGCAGCCAGACUUGCCUGUAGUUGCUCAUCCGGGUUUUUACCCGGUGCACUCUUCUACGGGCAGGCCAGCAUCAGUUUGGGCGGUUGGAUAAAGGUCUCUGUCAUGUACCUCCUCUCGGGGAGAUCUUAUAGGGGAGACGACAUGCAACCAGCCUGGACUGAGGUCCGCGCAUCUGCUAGGAUGCUGGCGUAAUGGCUGUAAGCGGCCCGUCUUGAAACACGGAACAAGGAGUCUAACAUCUAUGCGAGUGUUUGGGUGUCAAGCCCGAACGCGUAAUGAAAGUGAACGGAGGUGGGAACCUUUCGGGGUGCACCAUCGACCGAUCCUGAUGUCUUCGGAUGGAUUUGAGUAAGAGCAUAGCUGUUGGGACCCGAAAGAUGGUGAACUAUGCUUGAAUAGGGUGAAGCCAGAGGAAACUCUGGUGGAGGCUCGCAGCGGUUCUGACGUGCAAAUCGAUCGUCAAAUUUGGGCAUAGGGGCGAAAGAC